GUGAGGAAUAUUGGUCAAUGGGCGAGAGCCUGAACCAGCCAAGUCGCGUGAAGGAAGAAGGAUCUAUGGUUCGUAAACUUCUUUUGCAGGGGAAUAAAGUGCAGGACGUGUCCUGUUUUGUAUGUACCCUGAGAAUAAGGAUCGGCUAACUCCGUGCCAGCAGCUGCGGUAAUACGGAGGAUCCGAGCGUUAUCCGGAUUUAUUGGGUUUAAAGGGUGCGUAGGUGGUUUGAUAAGUCAGCGGUGAAAGUUUGCAGCUUAACUGUAAAAAUGCCGUUGAAACUGUCGGACUUGAGUGUAAAUGAGGUAGGCGGAAUGCGUGGUGUAGCGGUGAAAUGCAUAGAUAUCACGCAGAACUCCGAUUGCGAAGGCAGCUUACUAAGCUACAACUGACACUGAAGCACGAAAGCGUGGGGAUCAAACAGGAUUAGAAACCCCGGUAGUCC
RNAcentral lists this ribosomal RNA (445 nucleotides) under uncultured bacterium. Its description in RNAcentral is "partial 16S ribosomal RNA". It matches the Rfam family "Bacterial small subunit ribosomal RNA", at positions 354 to 796 of the family's 1533-position model. The record is from RNAcentral.